GAAUUACCCUUGGGAGAUUGAUUCAGCAAUGCAGAAACUGGUUCAAUACCUAGUAGGUCAGCUCCAGGAAGUUUUCCACUUGCAGGAACCUUCGACUCCAAAGAAAACAAGGCAUUAUGGGAACUCGGUUUGCAUAUAGCCCGGCCUUACUCCUUUUAAAAAUCUGCAAGGGUGGAGCCUAACCCUAAUCUGCAACAGUGAGCUGACAGUUGCAUACCCUGUCUAGUAUACAGUAAGAACCUAUUUCCUUAUGAUGAAUUCGGAUGUAACGUGCCGCUGGAAACAAAAAAUGAAAGGAACAUAGUCCUAAAUCAGAGAGGAAGAACAAUGAGGGCAGAGAUCAAAGUUGCUGCCUCCAGAGAGCAAAUGAUAGCAGCCUCUAAAAUGUGGAACAAAUAAGCAGAUUCUUCCCCGAAGCUUUCAUAUGGAACCAGUCCUGCUAGCACUUUGGAUUUAGAAUUUAAGUUAUUCUCGAAAAAGUAUGGAAGAAGUUAUAUUGCAGGUAAGUAUACUUUCUUGCACCAUAUGCUAUCAGAAUACACUGCUAUCCCCACAUUGUUUGGAGGUUACAUUUUAGCAUCCACUUUCUUCCCUGAGUCCUUGAUGGGUUUAGCUCCUGGCUGAUAUUUACUUCCAACAAUGCUCCUCUUCUCUCACUCCUCAUUGGCUUCAAAGAUUACAGAAACUUUUUUCCACAUGCUUGGCUUCACCGUUCCUUAAAUUAUCUUUGCCUAUGAUCUUGUCCUCCACUCUACUAUGCCACCAAGGCUCAUGAGAAUAUCCUAGAACUGUCAUUAUAACUGUGUCCUCUCCAUGAGCUUAACUAUCCCUCUUAACCACAAGUCCUACCCUUCUGGUUCACUCCCAGUGUCCUGAUUCUCAAAAUCUCCAUUUCACAGUGUCUGCAAACCCAUAGACCUGCCACAACUGGUCUCUUGCUAGAUUAAGUUUGUGCUCCAUCCUUACAGUCACCAUUUUAUAUACACCUUCACUUACAGUACUUAUUGGACAGAACAACAAAAAUUUCAAUUCUCUAUUAUUUUGCCUCCAUUGCUCUAACGCUGAGUGUGGCUAGUGAAAAACGAAGAAUUAGUGACAACUGGUCUUACUGUAAGGGACUGUACUGACUGGUUUUGUGUGUCAACUUGACACAGGCUGGAGUUAUCACAGAGAAAGGAGCUUCAGUUGGGGAAGUGCCUCCAUGAGAUCCAGCUGUGAGGCAUUUUCUCAAUUAGUGAUCAAGGGGGAAGGCCCCUUGAGGGUGGGACCAUCUCUGGACUCAUAGUCUUGGGUUCUAUAAGAGAGCAGGCUGAGCAAGCCAGGGGAAGCAAGCCAGUAAGUAACAUCCCUCCAUGGCCUCUGCAUCAGCUCCUGCUUCCUGACCUGCUUGAGUUCCAGUCCUGACAACCUUUAGUGAUUAACAGCAAUGUGGAAAGUGUAAGCUGAAUAAACCCUUUCAUCCUGAACUUACUUAUUGGUCAUGAUGUUUGUGCAGGAAUAGAAACCCUGACUAAGACAGGGUCCCUGAUUCUCUGAAGAAUGAUACUGCAGUCUCAAAUAAUAUGUAAACGCAAAGAGUGUUUUAUUUUGCAGAAGUUCAGCAUGCUGGGGUCUACCAUCUACAAAGAUAGAGCGAUCCCAAAGUGAGCUCCCAGGCCUGUUUUAAAGCACAUUAGGGGAAUUCCAGGGAGGGUUAGGUGACCUCUAUCUUAAUCUUGGCUAUCUCUAAUGAUACUCCAUUGCUGGGACCUGGAGGGGCUAGAAGCUGUUGCUGGAGAAGUCUGGAAACUUGCUGAGGAAGUCUGGAAACUGCUGCUGACCCAUUGUCCUUGCUUCAGGCCAGGUGGCAGGGCAGCUUCUGAGGCCUAGACUUGCCUGGAUUUGCCCAGUUCUUGGAAACAGAGAUUUAGGCCUCGUCCCCUGAACUGCCAAUCUGAAGCUUAUCAUGGAGUCAGCCUAGCCUUCCCAUUACUUUAAUGACAAUUUAUUUCAUUUCGAUCCUUGUGCUAGGAUAACAACGUAUUAAGGGAUAAUCCUUCUGGUCAAAAAAUUAAAAUACCUGGCCUGUAUAGAUGACUAAUAUUCCAGUUGGACAAGAUCAAUCACCUGGCCAAAAGACCGCCUCUAGAAAGGUAGGCUCACAUAAAGCCGUGCUAAAGAGAUAGUUAGAAAAAUUAUCACUUAAAUGAGAUACUUUGCUUUUUUUGCCUUCCCGAAAUUUCUACACCCCCCCCCCCGCCGCCCCAUGCUCCAUUAUAAUCUUUUACAGAGUAUAGCUAUUGUUGAUUUGUAAGUCACCAACUUUUUUGAAGCACACAGAAAAGAAUGACUUCAUUUUCUUUCUUUUUCUUUUCUUUCUUUGGUUUUGUUGUUGUUAUUGUUUGUUUGUUUCUACAUUUUUAUUUACUUGCUUUUAUGUGUAUGGAUGUUUUUUGCCUGAAUACAUGUUUGUCUGUGCACUGCCUAUGUUCAGUACAUACAGGGACCAGAAGAGAGAUUCAGAUCUCUUCAGUUUGGGAGUUACAUUAUGUGGAGUGUUAGCAUUAUGUGGAGUUGGAAUUGAAGCCUAGUGUUCUGGAAUAGCAACCAGUACUCCUACCCAGUAAGCCAUCCCUCCAGUCCUUCUUUCUACCUCUCUUCUAAGCAUACUUUCCCUAACACUUUAGGUUUCCCAAAUACUUUGUGUUUCACUCUUUUUCUACAGACAUCCUCUCUACCGUGUGAUUGCCUGCCACAAUAUGGCUGACCUCCAUGAUGGUAUAACUCAACUGGCAUGAAUUGUUUUCUUCUCUAUUUCCCUCUUCUGGGUAACUGCUGAGGUCUACAACUUACAGAGUCUGGGGAACAGUUUCUGUGAAAGUUUAGUAAAAUUGUCCUUGAGCUCCUGUUUGAUUCCAUUCUUGGUUUAUUUUAUUAAUGAGAUUAAGAACUCCAAGAGGGAACCCAGAUUUCCCUAGUAUCUGAUCACAAGGGGAGUUUCCUAAGUUUUAGCAACCUAUGUAAUUCUGCUUGAUGUCCCCACUGUUCUUUAAUCAAUUAAAUAUUUCAUUAUAAAUGACUUCCAUGUGAAUUGUAGUGUGUUUGCCUGCAGCCUUGUCCUCUACCCACUGGGUACCAGGUGUAUUUCCCUCCUCUAGUUUUAACUACCACAAUGACUCUAGACAAAACCAUCCCGUCUAAGAAACACUGAGGUAGAUUAUUCCUAUCCAAAGCUCCAAAACUAGUCAGACACUGCAGGUUUUACUGUCUUCUCAUUUCCUUUACUAUUUCCAAUGGUUUGUUUGCAUGCUUUUGUCCUAAGGUGAUAAAGCACAUCUAUUAAAUGGCCUGUUUGAAGGAAUUGUUGACCACAGAAGCAAUAUGUACUAGAAUGUGUGGCAAGUGAACUAUGCCACCAGACAGAAGAACUGUUAAGGUUGAGUAGGCUCAAACCCCAGGGAAUCUUAAAAUUUAGAAUGGUAUGUGUGGAGCCCACUCCCUGGAAAAUUACCUGAUCCGGAACACGUAACCAUGUCACCUGCCCUGAGAGGACCAUGACAAUGGGUCACAUAACAUUAAAACCUGGAGUUCUCCAUGCUAAUGCAGUUUCUAGAUAGGCUCCCAAAUGUUUAGCCAAAUGAGCAUACCUUCCUGGGCUUUCCUUUCCAAAAAAGGUAUUUAAUGCCUGAUUUACCCUGGGUAAGGUGUAUGCAUUCACCGCUGCCAUCAAAUAAAAACAGUUUGGACAAGCAAGGACUGUCUCCUUCAUGAAGGACCUCCUCAGGGAAGGCCUUCAGCAUAAAUAUCCUAAAUCUUUUAGAGAAGGGCUUUUUCCUUCCAAGCUGUCCUUACUAUUGGCAGUCACUUGGAAUUUUGCUUCCAUCAAGGUCUCAGCCUUCCUCCUUCCUGCCUGGAGAGGGAAAGCUCAAACCCGCAGAGCCCUGUUCCCAAAUCCCAGCAGUGCUGGCAGCACCUGGGUACACAGGUGACUAGGAACCACAGCAUCUCCAUCUCAGACUCCUCUGUUUCUCACCCAGGGAAACAUGGACGGAGACCCCCUAUGAUGGACUGUGUUCUGCCUCCCCUGAUCAGCGUACCGGGCACCCCAGCAGUUAAGCAGAAAUGUAGCUGGCAUUGGAAUACAAAAGUUAUAGGUUUCACAUUGUCAGCAAAUAUUUUCAUCAGUGUUUAGAGAGUGUUUUCUAGAGGGUGAAGCCAGAAAGAGAAGAGACUAGGAGAUAGGACAGAUUCCUUGGGAUGUAAUAUUAGUCUUCAGUUCCUGUAGAGGUUAUUUUCUUUUUAAUUAUUUUCUGUGUCUGGAUGUGCCUUAAUUUGGUUUUCUAUUGCUAUGAAGAGACACUCUGACCAUGGCAACUCUUAUAAAGAAAAACUUUUAAUUGUGGCAGGCUUACAGUUCAGAGUUCUAGUCCAUUAUUGUCAUGGGAAGAAAGUUGGCAGCAUGCAGUCAGACAUAGUGCUAGAGAGGUAGCUGAGAGUUCUACAUAUUGAUCCUCAGGCAGCAAAAAAGUAAAUGAAACACACUUCCUUCAACAAGGCCAUAUUUACUCCAACAAGGGCAAGCUUCCUAAUAGUCCAACUCCCAAUAGGCCUAUAGGGGCCAUUUUGUUCAAACUACCACAUUCUACUUCCUGGACCCAAUAGGAUUUAGCCAUAUCAUAAUGCAAAAUGCAUUGACUCCAAUCUCAGAAGUCCCCAUAGUCUAUAACAAUCUCAAACUUGUUUGAAAGUCCAAAGUUCAAAGCUUCUUCUGAGACUCAUCCAUUCUUUUAACUUUAAUUCCUGUAAAAUCAAAAUCAAAAAGCAGAUCACAUACUUCCAACAUAUAAGGAUAUCCAGCUUUGACACAUCAGAGUCUGAAGUAGGGGGCAUGGAGUCAGCAGAACACACAGAUACAGAAUCUUCUUAAUUAUUAUACAAGUUCUCUUAACUUUAUUUUCCCCCAUAGCUUAUGUGACUCACCAAAAUCUCUCAAGCAGGAUAAAAAUUACAAUGUGACAACAUUCCAUUUUUCUUUAAGUGAAAAAUUACAGUGAGUAUACAUAGAAAAAGAAAAGAAAAAAAGUGUCCCCCUAUAUCAUCUCAUGAUCAAAUGCUUUAUGUAUCAUGUAUUAAAAAAUAUUUUCAAAAACCCACAUGCAUUUGUAAGCAAGCACUUGUUAUAUAUUAACAAAGUAUAAGCAAGCAGGCUAAUUUUCUCAGCCAGUUUCUUUUACUGGCAGGCAGAAAUUUGCAGUUGCAAAGAAAGAAUAAUUUUAUCUUAAAAAGUAAUCUUAUAAAAAUCUUAAAGGAAUCACAAAUCUAAAUUUUUAUAGAAAAAAUCAGUCACUUCUACUUUAAAUCCUUAGGGUGCACAUCUACUCAUUAACAAUUUUUUAUUUAAUCAAUACCAGGAAGCUGAGGGCAAAAAUGAGUACAUGAAAUUAAUCAUCACCUUGAUCAUUAGCCCAGCUUUAGCAAGAGAGGCAUGUCAGCCAAUGUUGGGCUUCCAUUGUUCUUAUCCCCUGACCUCAAAAUUUUCCUAGCCCAACUAUUAAGAAUGUUCCUUUCUGGACUUCAGAUUGUUCUCUAAAAUUUUCUAUAUCAAAUAUACUAGCAAAAACAUCUUAACCUAACUUUCCUAACAAUCCAUAUCUCCAAAUUCUUUCUAAGGGUGGUGAAUGUUACUAGACAUGUAUAACUCUAAGUCUUACUGAGGUUUAUAAAUGAAUCAUUCAUCUGCACCAGCAGCAAAGCUUGAAAAAGAUCAAUCACUAUUAUUGCUAAGUGUCAAAGAUACUGCCCAGUCAGGGGCUGGGAGACCCCUUAGAGUUUUCAUACAACUCAUAGUUUAGGAGCAGCAUGAUGUUUGAGAGAACUAUAGAGCGAUUUCCAUAACAGCAUCAAGUCCUCAAGACAUCUAGUCCUUGGAGCUCUGCCUCUCUGAGGCACACCCAUCAUGAUUGUGCCACAUCCCAUGAGUUCUGUUUGUUGUUCUUCUCUGUGGGCCUCAAUAUAAUGUCAUAGGAUAUACAUUAUAAAUAUAAAGGGGAGCAUCGAAGAAAUUCUGAAUCAAAAACUAUCUGGGCAAACUCUGUAUCUCCAUGUCUGAAGUUAAAAUAUUCUUCAGACCUCCAACUCCUUUCAUCUUUGUUGACUGCAAUAUGCCUCUUUCUCAUGGACUGAUUCCAUUCUCUGUUAGCAGCUCUCCUUUGAAGGUAUCCCACAGCUCUGGUAUCUCCAACAUUUUGGGGUCUUCAAGGCAAUCCAGGCUUCACCUUCAUAGCUUCACACAAUGACCUCUCUAGGUCUCCAUGCAGGGACACUCCUGACACAUGUCUGGCCUCUUUAGCUUUUCCUAGCCACAACAGAAGAGUCCAUGACCCCUUUCUUGUAUCCUUGACUUUACAGCCAGAACCACAUAGCCAAAGCCACCAUGAUAUGUUGUUGGCUGGGGCCCUCAUUCAAAUAAUUUUUCACUAUCUUUCUGUUUUAGAAACUUUCUUCAUUGCAUAAGCAUGGCUGUCCUGCAACUUGCUUUGCAGACCAGGCUAACCUUAAACUCUGGGAUUAAAAGUGUACACUACCAUGCUUUGCCCUAAACGUUUCUUUAAUUCCCUUUCACUUUUCUUUAAUUCUUUUUUACAAACAGGAAGCUUAGUUAGGUAGGGUCUUGCUUUCCUUUAAACUGUUGACACUUUCCGUGUUCCUUUUCUCCUCAAAUGUUACAUUUUGUAUUUUUCCUUGCUCAGCUUGCUCCUAUUAGUUAUAGGUCUGCAUAAAAGUGACCACUAGUAACUGCACAACAGAGUCAAUCUAGACUGUUCUGAGAUCUCCUUUGCCAACAUAAAAUUUAUCCAAACUCUUCCAUUUAGCCAUGGGCAAUUUUUUUUUUUUUUUUUUU
Long non-coding RNA from Mus musculus (house mouse), 6880 nucleotides. RefSeq annotates it as predicted gene, 32313. Lineage: Eukaryota; Metazoa; Chordata; Mammalia; Rodentia; Muridae. The transcript has 2 exons. The record is from RefSeq and is a predicted model, not a curated record.